This 484-nucleotide ribosomal RNA is filed under the name uncultured bacterium. Its description in RNAcentral is "partial 16S ribosomal RNA". It matches the Rfam family "Bacterial small subunit ribosomal RNA", at positions 28 to 507 of the family's 1533-position model. The record is from RNAcentral.
AUUGAACGCUGGCGGCAUGCUUUACACAUGCAAGUCGAACGGCAGCGCGGGCUUCGGCCUGGCGGCGAGUGGCGAACGGGUGAGUAAUGCAUCUGAACGUGCCCCGUAGUGGGGGAUAGCCCGGCGAAAGCCGGAUUAAUACCGCAUACGACCUGAGGGUGAAAGCGGGGGACCGAAAGGCCUCGCGCUAUUGGAGCGGCCGGUGUCGGAUUAGCUAGUUGGUGGGGUAAAGGCUUACCAAGGCGGCGAUCGGUAGCUGGUCUGAGAGGACGACCAGCCACAGUGGGACUGAGAGGCGGCCCUGAGACCGACGGGAGGCACAAGCGGCGACUGUUGGACGAAGGGGGGAACACUGAUCCAGCGGUGCCGGGCGCGGGAAGAAGGCCCGCGGGCGGGAUGACGGUUUUGUGCGGGAAGACAGCCUCUGGGCUAAUACCCCGGGGGGAUGACGGUACCGGAAGAAUAAGCACCGGCUAACUACGUG